CCUGCGGACACACAGCACAGCGUUCGGUUAGCCACCCGCGUCACUCACAUUUCCCGGAACGCGCUUGAUUGAUUUCUCAUCCGAAAAAAGACCCACCGCUGAGCGCGACAAAAUCACGCGAUUCACCGAACUGUUAAUUAAGAGAUUACCGAGAACGAAAUUCAAAGUCAUCCCGCCCGCCGGCGCAGCAGCCGCUACCUCGCACCGAAAUCACACCAAAUUCUGGUUUGACGCCCGCCGCACUUUUGUUUUUACAAAACAGGAAGUGCUUUUAGGUGAAAUUUACACAAAAUUCGACUGGCACCAAAAGAAUAAAAACUUAAAUUGUGGAACAUGUUUAAUCCACGAGAAUAAAACCGCGGCUGUGAAUUUUGACUCUUUCAAAGUGAUAAAUUAAUAAGAUAUUUAAAAUAGGUUCAUAUUGCACAAAAAAUGACAAGAGACUAUUUUCAACUGUCUAAAUACAGCCCAAAACGGACUAAAUUUGGGCCAAACAAACUCUAAUUAUUGCUUUCUUUAGAACCUCUGCUCAGCACAUCCCGUGGGCUAUGAGCUCACCGGGUCCCAAUAACACCACUGAGCGAUAAAAAAUGGCGCCCGAUUGGCCGCAGAGGUGUGAAGACCCAAUGUGGUCAUCUUUUCGCCUCCACAAACCGAGGUCUUUAAUUGAAACGCCAGAAUUUUUUUCCCUAAAGCCGCUGGAAAGGUGCGAAAACCAUCAAAGAGUCGAAUCAGCGCAGGUGCACUCCCCAACCCGGUCAGCUAACUCAACCUGUAGUCUCUUGCAAACGUAUUUUAAUUUAGCAACGCAACUACCUCAAAACUUUAUUCUCGUUUCACUCCCAUUACGAUAUUUGAAAUGUUUAGGGACUAAGAGGGACAAUGCCUAAUUAUUAUGAAAAUUCCACGCAAUUUUAAACUCUCCUUGCUGGAAUAAUAAUUUAUCGCUUUCCUGACCUUGCAUAUUUUAGGUCUUUGGUAUGAAAUUCCUCAAUGGUAACUGGCUAAGAAGGAUCAAUUAACACAAAAAAUGUCUGCAGUUUGCGUUUGCAGCUGUUUAUAAUUUAAAAAAACUGUGGCACGGAUGAUUCAGAAUCUUCUGCUGAGGGCUCUGUGGUUAUGUAUAUUUUGCUUCACCGAAACAACCACUUUCCAGUUAAUUGUCUUAAAUUUUUAACUUUUAGUUGUCCAUCCUGAUUAAAAACUCUCACAGCAUAGACUUUUGGGCAUUACACUAAUUAAUUUCAGACAAAAAAUGGUUCAUAAAAAUAUUACCAUCGGAGUAAAAUUCUAAAAAUGACAAUAAAUCAACGUAAAGCGACCGUCUCGUUUUCAUGCGUAGUGUCAUCCUCAUUUCAAAGACGCACGAACCAAGUCUCGGCGACAAAAAUCACGCGGUUCACGGAAGCGGUGGCAAUUAAUUAAGCGAUUACCGAGAAUAAAAUUUAAUGCCGAGCGCGCACGAGUGUCAAGAGGGACAUCAUUAAAUUAUUAUCCCCGCUCCAUGCACCGCGCGAUAAAGUGUCCCCGUUCGCCCCGCGGGGGAACGCGUAAUAUAUGCAGAUGCGAGAGCGUACGAGAAAGAGAGAGAGAGAGAGAGAGAGAGAGAGAGAGAGAGAGAGAGAGAGAGAGAGAGAGAGAAGUCGUGUAUAAUAAAAAGCGGAGGAAGAAUGGCGCGCGGGCCUAUUAGUAGGAAAGAGCCAGCUUCUCGGAAGUGUUGCACGAUGGACCUCCAGAUUGCCGAUUCUGAGAAGCGCGCUUACUUAACCCCUUUCCCCCCUCCCCGGACGCGGGCCGCGGCGGUCCGGCGACAGCAGACUCGAGUCAGUCGCUGGCCGGGCAGGUUCGUCCUCGCAGGGUGUCGUCCAAAGCAAGCAGCACCAGACCACCGAGAUCAGGAUGACAGCCGCGAAGAUCGUGAAAACUGUGAUGACCUCGGUAGAGGGGAAUCCUGCAACACAUGACAGUCGGUAGAUCAGCGAUUGCUACAGUCUCGCUCAAAUUAAACUAGCUAAAUUCGCUCGCAAAUAAUGUUUUGACGGAUAUAUUUAAAUAAAGUUACAGUCAGCGUACAUUCUUAA
Molecule: long non-coding RNA, 2081 nt
Organism: Cloeon dipterum
Lineage: Eukaryota; Metazoa; Arthropoda; Insecta; Ephemeroptera; Baetidae
Exons: 2
Source: RefSeq, a predicted model, not a curated record